AACGAACGCUGGCGGCAUGCCUAACACAUGCAAGUCGAACGAGACCUUCGGGUCUAGUCGCGCACGGGUGCGUAACGCGUGGGAACCUGCCCUUAGGUUUGGAAUAACUCCCCGAAAGGGGUGCUAAUACCGGAUAAUGUCUUCUGCCCAAAGAUUUAUCGCCUUUGGUUGGGCCCGCGUUGGAUUAGCUUGUUGGUAGGGUAAAAGCCUACCAAGGCGAAGAUUCAUAGCUGGUCUGAGAGGAUGAUCAGCCACACUGAGAGUGGGACACGGCCGGGACUCUUACGGGAGGGAGAAGUGGGGAAUGUUGAACAAUGGGCGAAAGACUGAUGCAGCAAUGACGGGUGAGUGAUGAAGGCAUGAGGGAUGUAAAGCUCUUUUAACCGGGAUGGUAAUGACGGUACCGAAAGAAUAAGCCACGGCUAACUACGUG
RNAcentral lists this ribosomal RNA (433 nucleotides) under uncultured bacterium. Its description in RNAcentral is "partial 16S ribosomal RNA". It matches the Rfam family "Bacterial small subunit ribosomal RNA", at positions 29 to 507 of the family's 1533-position model. The record is from RNAcentral.